GCAGAACUGGCGAGCGAUGGGUUUCGCGGCACAAGAGCUGCGCGAGGAACGUGACCUCCUCCUUGUGGCUGUGGCGCAGGAUUGGCAGGCCUUGAGCUAUGCGGGACCCGGCCUGAGAGCCGACCCCGAGGU
Molecule: non-coding RNA, 132 nt
Filed under: Azadinium spinosum
Lineage: Eukaryota; Dinophyceae; Gonyaulacales; Amphidomataceae
Source: RNAcentral